This 253-nucleotide ribosomal RNA is filed under the name uncultured bacterium. RNAcentral describes it as "partial 16S ribosomal RNA". It matches the Rfam family "Bacterial small subunit ribosomal RNA", at positions 524 to 776 of the family's 1533-position model. The record is from RNAcentral.
UACGAAGGGGGCUAGCGUUGCUCGGAAUCACUGGGCGUAAAGCGCACGUAGGCGGAUUCUUAAGUCAGGGGUGAAAUCCUGGAGCUCAACUCCAGAACUGCCUUUGAUACUGGGAAUCUCGAGUCCGGGAGAGGUGAGUGGAACUGCGAGUGUAGAGGUGAAAUUCGUAGAUAUUAGGAAGAACACCAGUGGCGAAGGCGGCUCACUGGCCCGGUACUGACGCUGAGGCGCGAAAGCGUGGGGAGCAAACAGG